UAGCUUUUAGAAAAAGAGUCAGUGCCAGUCACAGCCAGGAAGGGAAAUCUAUUGGACAAAAUACAUUUAAGAUGAAAAAUUUCUAACUGUCUACGGGGUGACUCGCACCAAAGAAUGUUUAGAGGUAGGAACUAUAGGUGAUCUGCUCUUUCUUAUGACAAAUUGCAAAAGACAAGAAUCUCCCACAGGAGCUGAACAUGUCCACAUACCCUCCCAAAUGCAACUUCCUUGCAUUUCUUAAUUAUGCUGUUUUACUGAAGAAAUUAAGUUAUAUUGUUUAGUCAUUAGCUAAGUAAUAGUAUGCAUGAAUAUGACGUAAAACUUGGCUUCUGGAGAAUAUCUGCAAAUAAAUAAUAAAUCUUCUUGUGAAACAAAUGCUAGAAUAUUAUUACCUGCUUUAAUGGCCUUUUGUCCUAGAACAAAUCUCAUAAGAACCAAUGAUUAGAAGAAAAACAUGGCAAAGUAAAAAGAAAUAAAACAACAAAAGCAUCAAAAACAAAACUCUUAUUUAUAGCAUCAUUUUGUACUAUCACAAGAACAUUCACUUAAAAAUCAAAUAUCUUACCCGAUGGCAGAAACAAUUUUGUAAGUCAUAAGGAACAUCUUGUUAUGAACACUUUCUACUUGCAGCAGAAUGGAAGAAAUUGAAGACUGCAGGUGUCACAGACUCCCCUCCUGUUUCUGACGCUAAUAAACUGAGACCAAGCAAGGCAAAUCUCCUCUGCAGAACUGCUUAAAGAAACUCAUCUCCAAAGCCUACUGCACCCCUGAGAACAGAGCUUCCCCUCAAGCCCCUCGACCCCGAUUUCCCAGCCUGACCACUGUUCAGGAGAGCCC
Non-coding RNA from Odocoileus virginianus texanus, 837 nucleotides. The record is from RefSeq and is a predicted model, not a curated record. NCBI's taxonomy places the organism in Eukaryota, Metazoa, Chordata, Mammalia, Artiodactyla, Cervidae.